Molecule: ribosomal RNA, 207 nt
Filed under: uncultured delta proteobacterium
Lineage: Bacteria; Deltaproteobacteria
Description: partial 16S ribosomal RNA
Rfam family: Bacterial small subunit ribosomal RNA
Source: RNAcentral
CGUGCAGGCGGUUCGCUAAGUCUGAUGUGAAAGCCCUGGGCUCAACCCAGGAAGUGCAUUGGAAACUGGCGAACUUGAGUACGGGAGAGGGAAGUGGAAUUCCGAGUGUAGGGGUGAAAUCCGUAGAUAUUCGGAGGAACACCAGUGGCGAAGGCGGCUUCCUGGACCGAUACUGACGCUGAGACGCGAAAGCGUGGGGAGCAAACA